RNAcentral lists this ribosomal RNA (443 nucleotides) under uncultured bacterium. Its description in RNAcentral is "partial 16S ribosomal RNA". It matches the Rfam family "Bacterial small subunit ribosomal RNA", at positions 338 to 795 of the family's 1533-position model. The record is from RNAcentral.
CCUACGGGUGGCAGCAGUGGGGAAUAUUGGGCAAUGGGCGCAAGCCUGACCCAGCAACGCCGCGUGAAGGAAGAAGGCUUUCGGGUUGUAAACUUCUUUUCUCAGGGACGAAGCAAGUGACGGUACCUGAGGAAUAAGCCACGGCUAACUACGUGCCAGCAGCCGCGGUAAUACGUAGGUGGCAAGCGUUAUCCGGAUUUACUGGGUGUAAAGGGCGUGUAGGCGGGGACGCAAGUCAGAUGUGAAAACCACGGGCUCAACCUGUGGCCUGCAUUUGAAACUGUGUUUCUUGAGUGCUGGAGAGGCAAUCGGAAUUCCGGGUGUAGCGGUGAAAUGCGUAGAUAUACGGAGGAACACCAGUGGCGAAGGCGGAUUGCUGGACAGUAACUGACGCUGAGGCGCGAAAGCGUGGGGAGCAAACAGGAUUAGAUACCCGGGUAGUC